Molecule: unclassified non-coding RNA, 345 nt
Filed under: soil metagenome
Description: partial contains 5.8S ribosomal RNA, internal transcribed spacer 2, and large subunit ribosomal RNA
Rfam family: 5.8S ribosomal RNA (bases 5-121)
Source: RNAcentral
GAUGGAAGAACGUAGCGAAAUGCGAUAAGUAAUGUGAAUUGCAGAAUUCAGUGAAUCAUCGAAUCUUUGAACGCACAUUGCGCCCGCCAGUAUUCUGGCGGGCAUGCCUGUUCGAGCGUCAUUUCAACCCUCAAGCCCCCGGGCUUGGUGUUGGGGAUCGGCGUGCCCUCGCGGCGCGCCGUCCCCUAAAUCUAGUGGCGGUCUCGCUGUAGCUUCCUCUGCGUAGUAGCAACACUCGCACUGGAUCGCAGCGCGGCCACGCCGUUAAACCCCCCACUUCUGAAAGUUUGACCUCGGAUCAGGUAGGAAUACCCGCUGAACUUAAGCAUAUCAAUAAGCGGAGGA